RNAcentral lists this long non-coding RNA (565 nucleotides) under Salmo salar (Atlantic salmon). Its description in RNAcentral is "lncRNA (ENSSSAG00000113411.1, ENSSSAG00000119163.1)". Lineage: Eukaryota; Metazoa; Chordata; Actinopteri; Salmoniformes; Salmonidae. The record is from RNAcentral.
AUCUCUGUGGCCAGAUUGGAUUUCCUCCUCUUCAGCGAGCGAGGCAGCUAGCAACUUGGAUCUCAUCACAACCAACUUUAAUCUGGAGCUUUGGUGGUCCACCUUCCCUGUGGCCGAUCUGGUUACUCUAUUGACAGUGGACAGGACAUGGACGUCUCGUUUGUCAUGCCACUUUACUGCCAGCUGUUGACCAUUCUCCUUGAACUCCACCUCCCCUCUCUGCAUCUUCCUGCAUCCGAAUGCCGGCAUCCCCUUCCUGUUCGACCUUACUGUGCCACAGGUCCCUGUGCUGUUGGAGAGCAGAUGCUGGAAGAGUGUGGGACUGCUGUACCAAUUGUCCACAUACAAGGUGUGUCCCUUGCCGAGAUGAGGAGCCAGCAUGGUCAUCACUACAGACCUGGACACCCCAAGCCCCUCAUAAUGUUGGAUGUCAGUGGUGGACCCUGUGUAAACUAUAAUGUCAUGGACAAAUCCUGUCUUCACGUCAUACAUAACAAAGAACUUGACCCCAAACCUGUGUCUUUUGGAGGGAAUAUAUUGACGGAAUGCCAGCCUACCUUUCCAU